Molecule: long non-coding RNA, 575 nt
Organism: Tyto alba (common barn owl)
Lineage: Eukaryota; Metazoa; Chordata; Aves; Strigiformes; Tytonidae
Exons: 3
Source: RefSeq, a predicted model, not a curated record
GCUGCCCCGGGGGCCGCUCCCGCCGCCUCAGGGCGGGACGAGCCGCCAGCCCCCACGGGCGGGCCGGGCCGGAGGGGUGUCCUCCGCGGGCUGGGGCACCCGCUGCGGCGCCCACGCGAGGAAGGCUCCGCGGGGCUCCCCCGAACGCCUCGCUCCCCCCGGCCGUCGCUAGCAGAGGCCCGGCGCACUCCCGCAGGACUCCCCGUUCAGGGCAGGAACGGAGCUGCGUUCUAAAUAAUCUCAACCCCGGGGGAGACACCUGUGGGAGUUUAUUGCUCGAUCGAGCUCGUUGGUGGCAGCCCGGCCACAGCAAAGAGAUUCCCAAAAGCCUGCUCAGGAAAAGCCGCCUUACAGCCCAGAAGUAGAGGACGUAUCUAUGUGCUGCUGCCUGGGGCUCUGUAGUCCGUGACACGGUCUUCAUGUGUGAUCGAUGCCCGUGCGAAGCACAUCGAGAAGGUGCAGGUAUCCUCACUGCUGAGAAAUUACCAUGGUUCAUCUGCUUCUUCCACAGGGUUCUUUUCUUGCAACCCACUAUUCUCUGAACAAGAGUCGUUAUCUCCGUCGCUACGAUGACC